Molecule: long non-coding RNA, 496 nt
Organism: Orcinus orca (killer whale)
Lineage: Eukaryota; Metazoa; Chordata; Mammalia; Artiodactyla; Delphinidae
Exons: 3
Source: RefSeq, a predicted model, not a curated record
GUGAUCGGUUGCAGAGUACACACCACGGAAAUCUUCGUGCGCCCCUUUGAAAGGAGCGAGAGCGAGACCCCAUCUCUUUAUGGAAACUUCGGGUCACCACUUCCGAGAAAGUCCUGCUGGGCAUCUUGGCCUUUGUCGAGAGGUCUGGAAAGGGCGCCCCUAGCCAGCGUCCGCGUCUGGGUGAAAACUACAUUACCCAGAUGUCUCUGCGCUGCGCGUCUGCGGCGCUGGGCCAAUGAAGGCCGAGGAGAAGGACGCUCUCAUACUUUGCGAAACCUGUCAAGGAGGGACUUCCGGCGUUCUCCCGGCGGCGGUCAUUUUGGUGACCAUGGGUCGGUCGGCUUGAUCCGGUUAUGCAGCUCUUGGUCCGGCCCGAGGUUUCCAUGGCUUCAGAAGCACUUCAUGAGCAAUGUAUAGGUUCCAUGUAGUUGCCCAACUGGAGUUGCAGGGAGAGAUGUGGGUGCCUGACAGGGCAGGCCUGACUCCAGCCAUAGCA